This 78-nucleotide transfer RNA is filed under the name Erwinia phage SunLIRen. Its description in RNAcentral is "tRNA-Val". It matches the Rfam family "tRNA". From Rfam's summary of the family: Transfer RNA (tRNA) molecules are approximately 80 nucleotides in length. Lineage: Duplodnaviria; Heunggongvirae; Uroviricota; Caudoviricetes; Andersonviridae. The record is from RNAcentral. RNAcentral also lists the same sequence under 1 other name.
UACUCGUAUAGCUCAGAUGGUAGAGCGGCAUCUUUACACGUUGCUGGUCAGGCGUUCGAGUCGCCUUGCGAGUACCAA